GGUGCUUGCCGCGCCCCCUGGCCCAUCUAUGCUGGGCAGGGCAGAAAUGCAAGUCUAGUGAGAACCCUGUUUGCUGGCCUGGGGCCUGAUUCUGAGGCAUGAUCCGAACACAGCCCUCGAUCCCAACUAAGCCCUGCUUUAGCCCUGCUGUGCCACCGACCGGGAGCUGCCUGAGAGUAAACUGCAGGGUGGGGUGAGGAGGCCGACUGGGCACUGCCCACCACUGGUCACCACUCCCGAAGGGAAGAACCACCGGUGCCAAACCCAGUCGGACCUGCUGGCUAAGCACAGUAGAUCUGCAAGGGCCUGGUCUCAGAGUGGGGGAACUGUGUGAUCCCACCCCCAGGAGAGGUAAAGACACCAGGCCUAACACCUGAGGCGUGCACUGGGAGAGGCCAGAGGGGCAGCCAGCCCUGCAACCAUGACCGCCCUAUUGC
Long non-coding RNA from Mauremys reevesii (Reeves's turtle), 437 nucleotides. RefSeq lists it as uncharacterized. NCBI's taxonomy places the organism in Eukaryota, Metazoa, Chordata, Testudines, Geoemydidae. The transcript has 3 exons. The record is from RefSeq and is a predicted model, not a curated record.